This 274-nucleotide ribosomal RNA is filed under the name uncultured bacterium. RNAcentral's name for it is "partial 16S ribosomal RNA". It matches the Rfam family "Bacterial small subunit ribosomal RNA", at positions 523 to 796 of the family's 1533-position model. The record is from RNAcentral.
AUACGGAGGGUGCGAGCGUUAAUCGGAAUUACUGGGCGUAAAGGGUGCGUAGGCGGCUUGAUAAGUCGGAUGUGAAAGCCCCGGGCUUAACCUGGGAAUUGCAUUCGAUACUGUCAGGCUAGAGUAUGUCAGAGGUUGGCGGAAUUCCUAGUGUAGCGGUGAAAUGCGUAGAUAUCAGGAGGAACACCAGUGGCGAAGGCGGCUAACUGGGGCAAUACUGACGCUGAGGCACGAAAGCGUGGGGAGCAAACAGGAUUAGAAACCCUAGUAGUCC